AACGCACAUUGCGCCCCCUGGUAUUCCGGGGGGCAUGCCUGUUCGAGCGUCAUUACAACCCUCAAGCUCUGCUUGGUAUUGGGUGUCACCCCCGGGUGCGCCUUAAAAUCAGUGGCGGUGCCGUCUGGCUUCAAGCGUAGUAAUACUUCUCGCUUUGGAGUCCGGGCGAGCGUCCUGCCAAAACCCCCAUAUUUUUUCAGGUUGACCUCGGAUCAGGUAGGGAUACCCGCUGAACUUAA
This 239-nucleotide unclassified non-coding RNA is filed under the name Calycellina sp. RNAcentral's name for it is "partial contains 5.8S ribosomal RNA, internal transcribed spacer 2, and large subunit ribosomal RNA". The stretch from base 1 to 52 matches the Rfam family "5.8S ribosomal RNA", at positions 103 to 154 of the family's 154-position model. Lineage: Eukaryota; Fungi; Ascomycota; Leotiomycetes; Helotiales; Pezizellaceae. The record is from RNAcentral.